GCAUGCGAGUUAUGGGUUCUUUGUGAACCCGGCAAACUGCUCAGUAACACGUGGACAACCUACCCUUGGGAUCGGUAUAACCCCGGGAAACUGGGGAUAAUACCGAAUAGGUCAUAGGUGUUGGAAAACCCUAUGACUGAAAUGCUCCGGCGCCCAAGGAUGGGUCUGCGGCCGAUUAGGUUGUUGCUAGGGUAGUGACCUAGCAAGCCUAUAAUCGGUACGGGCUCUGAGAGGAGGAGCCCGGAGACGGACUCUUAGACACGAGUCCGGGCCCUACGGGGCGCAGCAGGCGCGAAACCUUUACAAUGUGCGAAAGCACGAUAAGGGGAUCCCAAGUGCCAGCGCACUGCGUUGGCUGUUCUCUAGCCUAAAAAGCUAGAGGUAGUAAGGACCGGGCAAGACCGGUGCCAGCCGCCGCGGUAACACCGGCGGUCCAAGUGGUGGCCACUUUUAUUGGGCCUAAAGCGUCCGUAGCCGGCCAAGUAGGUCCUUUAGGAAAUCUGGUGGCUUAACCAUCAGGCGACUGAGGGAAACUACUUGGCUUGGGACCGGGAGAGGUUCCGGGUACCCCAGGGGUAGGGGUGAAAUCCUGUAAUCCCUGGGAGACCACCUGGGGCUAAAGCUCGGAACUAGAACGGGUCCGACGGUGAGGGACGAAAGCCAGGGGCACAAACCGGAUUAGAUACCCGGGUAGUCCUGGCCGUCAACGAUGCCCGCUAGGUGUAGGCCGUAGCACGUCUGCGGCCUGUGCCUUAGUGAAGACGUUAAGCGGGCCGCCUGGGAAGUACGUCCGCAAGGAUGAAACUUAAAGGAAUUGGCGGGGGAGCACCACAACGGGUGGAGCCUG
This 847-nucleotide ribosomal RNA is filed under the name uncultured Methanonatronarchaeia archaeon. RNAcentral's name for it is "bacterial SSU rRNA". It matches the Rfam family "Archaeal small subunit ribosomal RNA", at positions 49 to 897 of the family's 1478-position model. The record is from RNAcentral. Lineage: Archaea; Methanobacteriati; Methanobacteriota; Methanonatronarchaeia.